RNAcentral lists this ribosomal RNA (497 nucleotides) under uncultured bacterium. Its description in RNAcentral is "partial 16S ribosomal RNA". It matches the Rfam family "Bacterial small subunit ribosomal RNA", at positions 28 to 507 of the family's 1533-position model. The record is from RNAcentral.
GAUGAACGCUGGCGGCGUGCCUAAUACAUGCAAGUCGAGCGAACAGACGAGGAGCUUGCUCCUCUGACGUUAGCGGCGGACGGGUGAGUAACACGUGGAUAACCUACCUAUAAGACUGGGAUAACUUCGGGAAACCGGAGCUAAUACCGGAUAACAUGUUGAACCGCAUGGUUCAACAGUGAAAGACGGUUUUGCUGUCACUUAUAGAUGGAUCCGCGCCGCAUUAGCUAGUUGGUAAGGUAACGGCUUACCAAGGCAACGAUGCGUAGCCGACCUGAGAGGGUGAUCGGCCACACUGGAACUGAGACACGGUCCAGACUACUACGGGAGGCAGCAGUAGGGAAUCUUCCGCAAUGGGCGAAAGCCUGACGGAGCAACGCCGCGUGAGUGAAGAAGGUCUUCGGAUCGUAAAACUCUGUUAUUAGGGAAGAACAAAUGUGUAAGUAACUAUGCACGUCUUGACGGUACCUAAUCAGAAAGCCACGGCUAACUACGUG